CUGCAAAAGAACUGUUCAGAAGACUGGGGGAUUUACUCAUUUCCUAGUUUACUGGUCCAUGUAAGUAGAUGUGAAGAAAAAGGGGAAGGAUUGAAUCUCUGAGUUGGUUGAACUCGGCCCUGGGACAAGUUUGGAACUGUAAGCACAUUUUGAAGGUCUCCAGCAAGACAGCAUUCAACAAGCCUCUGCUGGAAUGAGCACCAACAGACUGCAAAUUGCAAAGUGCAUUGUAAUUGAAUCUGAUCUCUGGCUUUUACAGAGUGUGGCAAGUGAGAGUCUAAAUGCUGCUUGGCAGAUCCUUCACUCUGUCUUCUCCAUGUUGUUCAGUCAACGUACAGAGGCUUUGGUAUGGUCUUCGCCUGCCAUUUGUGGACUUCCUGUGAUGCGAAGGAUGU
Struthio camelus australis is the source of this 395-nucleotide long non-coding RNA. RefSeq lists it as uncharacterized. The record is from RefSeq and is a predicted model, not a curated record. Lineage: Eukaryota; Metazoa; Chordata; Aves; Struthioniformes; Struthionidae.